Molecule: ribosomal RNA, 497 nt
Filed under: uncultured bacterium
Lineage: Bacteria
Description: partial 16S ribosomal RNA
Rfam family: Bacterial small subunit ribosomal RNA
Source: RNAcentral
GAUGAACGCUGGCGGCGUGCCUAAUACAUGCAAGUCGAGCGAACGGACGAGAAGCUUGCUUCUCUGAUGUUAGCGGCGGACGGGUGAGUAGCACGUGGAUAACCUACCUAUAAGACUGGGAUAACUUCGGGAAACCGGAGCUAAUACCGGAUGAUAUUUUGAACCGCAUGGUUCAAAAGUGAAAGACGGUCUUGCUGUCACUUAUAGAUGGAUCCGCGCUGCAUUAGCUAGUUGGUAAGGUAACGGCUUACCAAGGCAACGAUGCAUAGCCGACCUGAGAGGGUGAUCGGCCACACUGGAACUGAGACACGGUCCAGACUCCUACGGGAGGCAGCAGUAGGGAAUCUUCCGCAAUGGGCGAAAGCCUGACGGAGCAACGCCGCGUGAGUGAUGAAGGUCUUCGGAUCGUAAAACUCUGUUAUUAGGGAAGAACAUAUGUGUAAGUAACUGUGCACAUCUUGACGGUACCUAAUCAGAAAGCCACGGCUAACUACGUG